Molecule: RNA transcript, 7204 nt
Organism: Osmia bicornis bicornis
Lineage: Eukaryota; Metazoa; Arthropoda; Insecta; Hymenoptera; Megachilidae
Exons: 6
Source: RefSeq, a predicted model, not a curated record
UUAACCCGCCGUCCAUUAAGAAAAAUUAUAAAAUUAAAAACAAAAACAUUAAAUGUGUAAAUCAGGUCCAAUGGACCCGUUUGGUAGACUGAGGGUAAGUCUUUAAGUCUUGAUUAAAACAUAAUCUCCCUUAUUACGUGGUAAUUGGUGCCAUUAAUUUCCUGAUAAUUAUUGUAAUAGGGGUAUUAUAAUAAUAGGCUAACAAGUAUUGGCCGCACGCGAAACACGCAAACGCAACGGCAGCAAAACCGUCUCUCACGACAAGAAAUAAUUCUUCUAGCCUCGAUCAAGGAGAAUUCUCUCACGGUGACUGGCAAUCGCGACAGUUUCCCAAAGAGACACGACGUCGGCGUCGUUGCUCGAGAACAAGCCGGAAGCGUCUCGUCAGCGUUUGUUCAUUAUCGAAGUUUGUUAGCGGAAAAGUGUGCGUCGACGGGAAAUCGAGAUAAACGUCGUUUCCCUCGCCCUUUCGUCCAUUCGUCCCUCGAAAUUUCCACACCCCCGUAUUAUCGCGACGCCGGCGACACGACAGCCGACAAACCAACAAGGGUUAACCCAAUUAUUUAGCUGCCGAACUCGUUGUCUGGGGGGUGAAGAAACGAUUCGCUGCGGAGUGUUUGUACGAAAAAACUAGCCAGAACUAUUUUAUUGGUUCUAUCUAAAUUAAAUGCAUUCACUAGUGAUAUAACAUAAUUAUUAGAAAAACAAAGAGGUAAGAACGUGGUAAAUCAGGAAGGGGUUAAAGAUGAAUGGCGAGAAUAGUCGUGAAUCUUUAUAAGGGUUAGAUAAAAGCUCAGAUCCUCGACCCAUGCUAUCUGUUAGCAAACUAUCUCAAUCCAACCGCCAAAUGGGCAGUAAACUCUUAUGAGCUAGGGUAGUAAAUUCAGAAAGAAUCGCAAGGGGUAGAAAGAGUGUCCUCAGUGAUAAUGUUUUCGAGAUAUUCCUUCGAUAGAAACGGUCUAUCCUCCGUUUCAGUGCAAAUAAAUUAAGGUUCAAGUGAAAUUUUCUCUAGAUUGUCAAACUUUCUCGUUGAAAGUUUCAACCCUUCCUUCGUUAAUUCCUCUGUUUAUUCUCAGCGAACCCCAUAAGGUCCCGCGAUCUUCCUUGAGUUAUGCGCCCUAGGGAGUUGUAUUUAUUUAAACAAUAAUUUCGAGGGAUCUGGAUGGCACUUAAGUGUCCAGUGAAAGACGUGUAUCAAGAGAUCGAAGCAGCGCUAAUACAAGUACCUAUGUAAUUAACCCAAGGUAUCUGUAUUCAAUGUUUCAAGAAAAUAUUCAGGAGCGCACAUGCGCCAAGAUGUACGAGGACCAGGUGUGUUGCCUGGUGAAUUCACUUUAUAUGGACACGUGGGUCCAGGCCCGACAAUUAUCGAUUGACCGUCCCUAAGAAAUGUCGAAGCGUCUCUCUCCGUCGUUCCAUCGGUGGUAAGGCGUUCCGACGAACGUAAUAACUUUAGGGAUUUCCCGGAAGAGCCAUCCCGACGUUUACGAUAAUCAGUCGCCGUAUAUUGGGUAACGAAAGCCCUCUGAGGAAGGUUUCGUUGCAUGUAAUCAUCUGUGGCGGGCCCUGGAAUCGCCGAUAAACCGACGUCACUUCGAUUUCUUUAACGAGACGCCGCGAUAAAUUAACCGAGUCGUUUCGGUCGUUUUUAAAAGCGGAAUCGCAAUUCCUUAUCCCUGGCCCGGUAGAGCUAGACCUACUUACCGAAUCGGGGCUGAACGAGGCCGAAAGCCGGCCGGAUUUUAAUAGUCCCGACCGUUUGUUAUCCUUUUAUGCAUUCGUUAUCGAUCCGCAUUAACGAGGAAACUCGAGAGGGCCCGGCAAAGGAGAAAAAGAAUAAUAAGAGGAUGCGAAAGGUUGGCAUGGGGUUUCGUAGCUUGGAAAUUUCAGGCUACCAUGGCCAGCCUCGGACCAUGCCGGCAGGCCGGUUAUGAAGUUGGAAGCUGCAGCUUCGCAGCUGGCGCCACAUGGCCCCUCUCUCUCGCUGCUACUGCUGGCUGCUCAACUUUCCUCAUUUGCCAUAAUCUAUGACCCCCCAUUAAGAGGACGGGGCCUAGAGCCGGGCUUACUAAGGACCAGGUAACACGGAUCCGUGCAAGAUGUCUCCGGUAACAACGAAGAAAUUAGCGGAAACUCGAAUUGCGUGGCCUCCGGUUGCAAUCGGCACUUCCACGGCAAAGAUAACGCCGACCACGAGGGUUGGGAGAUGCUCGCCUCCGCUCUGAUGUCGUGACGCGAGUGUUCUCGAUGGUCUUCGAUCGCGUUUCAAUUACUCUUCUUACAUUUUCUUUUUUCUUUUUUUUUUUUUUUUAGGGAACUUUAACCCGCUGUUCCUCUUGGGUUUAUGUAGAGGUAUCAGAGUUCAAAAUCGAAAUGACCUAAGUUUAUGGUUAAGGGUAGUUCAGAAUGAAACAGAGAGAUUUAAAGGUAGUUCUCAGAAAUGGAAAAGGGGAAUUUCAUUUGCCAGAUGACUGCACCGUCGAUUGAGUUAGCCAGACUAUCGGCAGAUUCUCUUUUCUUUUGAUGUUCGAAAAUCUAUGUUAUCUACAUUUCCAGAUCUCAGAUUCAAUUCAUUCUCUUCAUGUAAGUUUGAUUUUCUAGCACACCCAUCUGUCAUGCAUAAGCAUUUAUAAUUCACUUGCAAAGAACGUUUUUUUUUUUACUAGAAUGUAAUUAAAUUUGAAAAAUAUAAAAUAAUCGAGGAAUAAAAUCCGCUAUUGGGAGGAAUGGUCGUGUUACGGGACGUUUGAAAGAUUCCCCCUUUAGAAACGAAGGUUUCGUUCGCUUACCACCGAUGCAAGCUAUAAAUCUCGGUCGACUUGCCGGUGAAAUUGCACGCUUUACAUCUCCUCGCGGGUAAGUGGAAAUUGGUUCUUCCAUUCCGACAUCCCUGAAACUACCAACUUUAAUCUUGCGCCAAAAUCGAUGUGGUCUUUGCCAUCCCGAUAGCGAGCAAAAGGAGGCGGAAGGGGGGGCAUUUCUACAUUGAUUUACUUCGCGAGCGACAGGUUUAUUACUUCGAUGUGUACAAACGCACCUGCAUGAAUAAAAUCCGCUUCGUACGACUCCGGUCGGGAUUGAUUCGAAUUCUCGCGGAGAAAUCAAGCGUUCCGACGGGAACGGGGAAUGUAUAACAUUCCGAGAUCACGAGAUUGGAUUCUUCUUCUUCGUACGCUUUCCUUUUAUCCCGCGCGGGGAACAAAUUCACUCAAAAGUCAGCACCCGUUUACGACCGAGACGCUGAUUAUUGCAAGUGCUCUUCAAAAUUUGAUUUGUCCGCAUAAAUUGCAAGCACAAACAUGGCGGAUAAAAUACAUGUUUAUCGUUGCACGAGGGAAAAUUGCAUUACAGGCGAAGUAGAAAUUCUUCUAUCGAACUUAGAAUUUGUUUGAAAAAAUCGUAAUGCGUGCUACAUAGAUUUUUAUUCGAUGGUCGCUUGCACGGGUCUCCUCGAGACUUCGACUCUCCGGAACCUUCUCCUCCCCGUAGAAACCCUUAUUAACCAUAUUAACCCUUGUUUCCCGUCCACCCUUAAUUGAAAGAAUCUGUUAUACAAAAUCCCAUAGAAAUCGGGGGCUAAUGGGCGUAUCGGAAUUCACGGCAUAUGGCGCGUCUCGUGGUGUCCAGUGAUGGGAACGCGAGUGGAAGCAAGUCGGCAAGUCGAAGAAGAGGGACGAUCGUGAUGGAGAGUAGGUAGAAGCACGGUACAUGGCCUUUGUACGGGUGCUUAGAAGCGUGAAGGCUCGCAUAGACAUUAUUACAUUAUCCGUGUAAAUGUGAGGCAGCGAGUGUGCGUCUCUUAUGUUGACCGCACUCACCGGGAAAUAACUUCCAUGAACCACACCUUGGUAAUCGACGUGCUUCAUAGAAGCAUAAACGAUACCCGAGGGUACGUGCAUCGUGUCGGUGAAAUUCAGAAGCUUCUUAAUCGAAUACUUUUUAAAAAAUGUUGCAUAAUACUUGGACAUGCUGGUGCAAGGGUGGAGGAAUCGAUACACAAUUCGUAUGCGACGAUGCCAAAUGAAAAUGGAGCAUAUCGACAGGCAAAAGGUACGCUUGGCCGCGAACGAAGCGAUAAAUGCCCGGAGGAAUUGUAAAAUAUGGUUUACGACGGUGCUGCAAUGCAGGUCCCCGAGGUGGAAGAGGAUUCACCUUCUUCUUCUUCUUCUUCGACCGAUCGAUAGGUCGGAUCGACUGACGGCAGCCGUCUCGAUUCUCUGAGGAAACGGAUUUCAGGGGGAUGAGAAGGGUGGGACGAAAUUCGAAAUCUCCUCGGGCAGAUUGCCUCGGAGCGCAAAGUUCUCUUUAACUCCUUGCCGCACAAAGAACUGCGUUUGCCCGACGAAAGUGUCGCGAUGAAAAGUCGCGAAAAUGUCUAGAAUCAACGUGUUGCAGGGCAAUCGACGCGUGCUUCGAGCGACCGGCUUUCAACCAGCUCCCGAUUCCUCGAGGCGUUUCAACAGGCUCGGACUAAUUCCGUCACGGUCAAUGGCUGCCAGUGUCGUAUCGCCGUGGUUCGCGAGACUGUCCCUGACGGUGACAUGUGGCCAGGAGAAAAAUAGAAAAUUUCUCGACUCAUCCGUGUGCAAAGAGAGAGAGGAAGAGGACGCCGAUCACUCAGAAAGCCGAAUGAAAUUGGCAUUUCAAUUGGACAAGACAAAAAUUGCAGUACUAUCGUCCCGACGGGGCGACGUACGGCAGUUAAAUCGCAGUAUCGUACCGACGCGUCAGUCGACGACAACAUCGAUCGUUUUCGACGUGGAGUCACGACAGAUUGUCGGCCAAUUUCGCGGAGACGCGUAUGAAUUACUGAUAGACCGCUGACAGUCGAUCCUCACCGAUUCUAAUUCGUUCUGCUUGUUUUCAAGAAGUCAUAACCGAAUGUUUAUGGACCAGUUCAGGGUAUGGUUAAUGAAUACAGUUGUUAAUUAAAAAGGUAAGAAAUAUAACUUUAUUUAUCUUUUGUAUAAUACAUCAACUUGUCUCCGUGCGAAUUCGGUUGUGAUUUGUUGAUCUAAGUUACAAAGAAAUCUUAGUGUCUCUUCGUUUCGUCGUCGAGUAACUCUAAAACGAGAUCCGUGCACAAAGAGCGUCAUGGCACGCCUGUGUGCCCGAGCCUCAUUUAAAUAACAGAUAAUUGCCAGUCCUGUUAAUUGAAGCGCCGCGGGGAUCGUCGGUUGGAAGGGAGAGGCUAGAGAAGAGUUAGCCAAGAUUUUGCACCGGUACACCACCCUCUCGUUUCCGUCUUCCGUUCCUUUCUCUCUCUCUCUCUCGUUACCUGUGUCUCCUUUCCUAUCCGAGAGUUAACGCGAGACCCGAUUUCCCGUCUGCCGAGCUACUGCAACAAAUAAAUCGCUUUUGUCAUUUGCACGCCACCCUCCACCCCCUUGUAUUUCACCCCUUUUCAGCCAGCCAACUGUUAGCGACGGUUACAGACUCGUCGAUAGAACGGUAAAAAGUUGAGCAGUUUCGCAGCAAAUCACGGCGCAGAGUUAAUCUGGCUAAUGGCGAUGUUCGUUGCGCAGAAAUUCGAAACGUAUCGUUAUCUUAGAAUUCCUUGCCCUUCGCUCCGGUUCCCUCCCGUUCCCUUGUUUCCUAUCCGGUCCUGCGUCGAAGGACAAAACAGGGGAGGAUCUCGUUUAAAUAACGGAUAAUUGGAAGUCUCCUUAAUUGAAGCUGUGCGCGGCGGAACAGUUAGCCGCGUUCCUCGUGACACGCCUUGCACCCGUUUCCUCCUUUAACCAGACGAAUCCCGUUGUUAACGUCAACCACAAAUCUGUGCGAGAAAGCCCGGCUAAGAAGAUGGAACAUUGUUUGGCGAAAGAAUUUCGAGAGCACCAGGUUCACUCUUUUGCUUCCACCAUUUGUCUAGCAGUUUACUGUCGCCAUGAAUCCUCGGUAACCGGAAACCGUGAAAAACUACCCAGACGAAAUGAGAAACGAACGAGUAUCGUCGCGUUGCAACAUCCAGUCAUCGAUCCUCCACGCAUCCUCGAGGCACAAUGGAGAGACUACGCAAUAAAUUCCGGCUAAAAAAGGAUCGGGAGAAGAGAAUAAAGGAACAGAAGAGUUGCGCUACGAGUCCGCUCUGCUCACUCGACGAUUCAUGGACUCAGCGCGAUCUCAUCUUAAAGAUUACAUCUGAGCGGACUGUAACGAACUGGGGAUCUCUUUUUCCUGCUGCUCGCGACUGUUCCUCCAUUCCUGCUACCCUUUACGAUAUCGUUCAGCCCGCCCCCGUGUUUUCUCCCCAGGAAGAAAGGGAACUUCGAACUGCUCUUUGAUGACGAUGCGUCGCCGACUCCGUGCCCGUAGCUUUAUUUUAUAGGCGUCUUCUUGCCGAUCCAAAUAUUGAUUGAGAUUCGCGAAACUUGCCGAAAGGACCAUCCCCCUCGAAUCGCUGAAACGAAAUCUAUUCGAGGCAGGGUGGCCUCCCGCUUGGUAUUCCAACAACGUUCCAAGUGGUUCAUCCGCGAUCGUGGAUUUGUUCGAGCCGAAUGCUAUUCUAUCGGGGAUAGAGACCAAAAGCUCGUUGUCAGGAAAACAAUGAUCUUUAUCUUAUAUAUAAUUUAGUUUCCUUGUUAUCGAAAGGGGGAUAGGAACGCAGCUAUGUGAACGAUGCGUUUGUGAAUCUCUGAGUCUGCUGCAAUCAGAAUCAAAGAUUUAAAGCCAUUUAGUUUUUAAGAAAAUAAAAAUUAUUGGUCCGUGAUUUUGUAAGAUUCAACUCCUCUGUUUAAAGAUUAAGAAUCAUCAGAAUAGUGUUCUAGUGACUUUAAGAAAAUGACCCACUUCGAAUGCCAUUCAAGGCAUUGGAUUACAAGCGAAAUGUUACCAAAGAUGAUGCUCGCCAAUCAGAAUCGUUCGAAAGCGAAGGACCUGAAGGUGCUUCCAAUUACACGAAACGUCACGGUUGAGUCAAGAGAUCGGGGUCACGUCAUUCCAAGCAGAUUUCUCUCUUCUCGCUGCACCCGCGUUUGGUUCACGCUACUUCUCCAUUUUUCUCCUAGUUCGUGUCACUGAUCGCCUUAUCUAAACUGGUUUUAGCCGAGUGCACGAGCGAUACCGUAAAAUUGAAGAGUGUGUAAUUCGAAUUACUGCUAGAUUCGAUUUGCCAUAAACGAUACAAUGGGUAUUAGAACUGUUAAACGAAAUGUAAUGAAAAAUUUAGUUAAUAAACGAGCAGAAGAACGCGAGUGAUCCUCGA